Molecule: long non-coding RNA, 456 nt
Filed under: Notechis scutatus (mainland tiger snake)
Lineage: Eukaryota; Metazoa; Chordata; Lepidosauria; Squamata; Elapidae
Description: lncRNA (ENSNSUG00000012937.1)
Source: RNAcentral
GAGUUGAAGGGCCAGGUUAGGGUCAGAUUGUCAAGGGAAAAAAUAAAUACUGUAUGUGGUUGUGAAGAGUAAAAAAUGAUGACACAUAAUCAAAUUUUCUGUUUAUUUUUUAUUAGAAAAGGAAAAAAGAGAAGGUGAAAAGAAAGAAAGAAAAGAAGAGAAAGAAAGAGAAAUCAAGUCCUGUACAGCUUUCUAAAUAUUUCAAAGAUAAAAAGAAGAAUCAUAACUACAGUAUGAUCACAGGAAAGAAAAUUAAGAUGAAAAUAAAGAAGAGUAAAAAGGAUAAAGAGCGAGAUCGGAACCGGGCAGAACUUCUUGAUUUCUUGAACUCUACUUUUUAGUGAAAAAGCUGUUAAAUAAGGACCAAUAAGUCUGUCAGCUUAUUCAGUCAUCUUGCUCCUUAAAGCACCAAAUACAAGCUCAGGGUGAAGCAUGAAAGAACAUCUUGAUGCAUGA